Molecule: ribosomal RNA, 466 nt
Filed under: uncultured bacterium
Lineage: Bacteria
Description: partial 16S ribosomal RNA
Rfam family: Bacterial small subunit ribosomal RNA
Source: RNAcentral
ACGCACGCUGGCGGCGUGCUUCACACAUGCAAGUCGCACGGAAAGGCCCUGCUUUUGUGGGGUGCUCGAGUGGCGAACGGGUGAGUAACACGUGAGUAACCUGCCCUUGACUUUGGGAUAACUUCAGGAAACUGGGGCUAAUACCGGAUAGGAGCUCCUGCUGCAUGGUGGGGGUUGGAAAGUUUCGGCGGUUGGGGAUGGACUCGCGGCUUAUCAGCUUGUUGGUGGGGUAGUGGCUUACCAAGGCUUUGACGGGUAGCCGGCCUGAGAGGGUGACCGGCCACAUUGGGACUGAGAUACGGCCCAGACUCCUACGGGAGGCAGCAGUGGGGAAUAUUGCACAAUGGGCGGAAGCCUGAUGCAGCAACGCCGCGUGCGGGAUGACGGCCUUCGGGUUGUAAACCGCUUUCGCCUGUGACGAAGCGUGAGUGACGGUAAUGGGUAAAGAAGCACCGGCUAACUACGU